UGGGGAAUAUUGGACAAUGGGCGCAAGCCUGAUCCAGCAAUACCGCGUGAGUGAUGAAGGUCUUCGGAUUGUAAAGCUCUUUUAGUGGGGAAGAUAAUGACGGUACCCACAGAAAAAGCACCGGCAAACUUCGUGCCAGCAGCCGCGGUAAUACGAAGGGUGCUAGCGUUGUUCGGAAUUACUGGGCGUAAAGCGUACGUAGGCGGCUUUGUAAGUCGAUUGUGAAAGCCCAGGGCUUAACCCUGUGAAUUGCAACCGAAACUGCUUUGCUUGAGUUUGGUGGGGGAUGGCGGAAUUCCUAGUGUAGGAGUGAAAUCCGUAGAGAUUAGGAGGAAUACCGGUGGCGAAGGCGGCCAUCUACGCCAAUACUGACGCUAAGGUACGAAAGCGUGGGGAGCAAACAGGAUUAGAUACCCCGGUAGUCC
This 425-nucleotide ribosomal RNA is filed under the name uncultured bacterium. Its description in RNAcentral is "bacterial SSU rRNA". It matches the Rfam family "Bacterial small subunit ribosomal RNA", at positions 355 to 796 of the family's 1533-position model. The record is from RNAcentral.